UACGGGGGGGGCAAGCGUUGUUCGGAAUUACUGGGCGUAAAGGGUGCGUAGGCGGCUUUCUAAGUUGGAUGUGAAAACUCUGGGCUCAACCUGGGAACCGCGCUUGAGACUGGAGAACUAGAGUUCGGGAGAGGAUGGUGGAAUUCCCAGUGUAGAGGUGAAAUUCGUAGAUAUUGGGAAGAACACCGAUGGCGAAGGCAGCCAUCUGGACCGACACUGACGCUGAGGCGCGAAAGCGUGGGGAGCAAACAGG
RNAcentral lists this ribosomal RNA (253 nucleotides) under uncultured bacterium. Its description in RNAcentral is "partial 16S ribosomal RNA". It matches the Rfam family "Bacterial small subunit ribosomal RNA", at positions 524 to 776 of the family's 1533-position model. The record is from RNAcentral.